This 253-nucleotide ribosomal RNA is filed under the name uncultured bacterium. RNAcentral describes it as "partial 16S ribosomal RNA". It matches the Rfam family "Bacterial small subunit ribosomal RNA", at positions 524 to 776 of the family's 1533-position model. The record is from RNAcentral.
GACGUAGGGCGCGAGCGUUGUCCGGAUUUAUUGGGCGUAAAGAGCUCGUAGGCGGCUUGUCGCGUCGACUGUGAAAACCCGCGGCUCAACUGCGGGCUUGCAGCCGAUACGGGCAGGCUAGAGUUCGGUAGGGGAGACUGGAAUUCCUGGUGUAGCGGUGAAAUGCGCAGAUAUCAUCUGGAACGCCAAUGGUGAAAACAGGUAGCUGGGAGUGUGCUGACGCUGAGACACGAAAGCCAGGGGAGCGAACGGG